UACAGAGGUCUCAAGCGUUGUUCGGAUUCAUUGGGCGUAAAGGGCGCGUAGGUGGCGCGGUAAGUCGGGUGUGAAAUUUCGGAGCUUAACUCCGAAACUGCAUUCGAUACUGCCGUGCUUGAGGACUGGAGAGGAGACUGGAAUUUACGGUGUAGCAGUGAAAUGCGUAGAGAUCGUAAGGAAGACCAGUGGCGAAGGCGGGUCUCUGGACAGUUCCUGACGCUGAGGCACGAAGGCCAGGGGAGCAAACGGG
This 253-nucleotide ribosomal RNA is filed under the name uncultured bacterium. RNAcentral's name for it is "partial 16S ribosomal RNA". It matches the Rfam family "Bacterial small subunit ribosomal RNA", at positions 524 to 776 of the family's 1533-position model. The record is from RNAcentral.